CUCUCAGAACUAUGGACACUUCCUUCCUAUUUCAGCUUUCUCACAGCUUCUGAACCUAGCCCUGUCUUCAGAACUGUUGUCAACAGAAUGAUAGUGAAGGAUUAGCUGUGGGAUGAUGGUGGGGCUUGAUCUGAAACAGUGGCUUACGAGUGACGCACCCUACUGGAUGUGAGAAUGAUGGGAGACAAGAACACAAAUGAUGCUGGCCUGACAUCCCCCUGGCUUGUAAAAGAUGACACAUUCUUCUCUGGAUAAACCAGCUUCCAUGAAGCAAAGGCCCAAAGCAGUGCCCUCCUGUCUGCCUAUAAGCCACAUGAAGUGAAAGGCCAUGUCUUGAACGGAGAAGAACAAAUUUGGGCAUGUUGCAAAUGUGGCCUGGAGUUUGUACUGUGAGAUUAAAGGAUGUCUGGUUGAAAUAAAGACAGGCCAAAAAAAAAAAAACCAGACUGAAGGAAGGAAAUUACAGGCUAUAGGAGUCUUGGGCCUGGAGGCCCAAAUG
Molecule: non-coding RNA, 499 nt
Organism: Heterocephalus glaber (naked mole-rat)
Lineage: Eukaryota; Metazoa; Chordata; Mammalia; Rodentia; Bathyergidae
Source: RefSeq, a predicted model, not a curated record